This 253-nucleotide ribosomal RNA is filed under the name uncultured bacterium. RNAcentral's name for it is "partial 16S ribosomal RNA". It matches the Rfam family "Bacterial small subunit ribosomal RNA", at positions 524 to 776 of the family's 1533-position model. The record is from RNAcentral.
UACAGAGGGGGCAAGCGUUGUUCGGAAUUACUGGGCGUAAAGGGCGCGUAGGCGGCCUGUUAAGUCGAAUGUGAAAGCCCCCGGCUCAACUGGGGAAGGUCAUUCGAUACUGUUCGGCUCGAAGAUAGGAGAGGGAAGCGGAAUUUCAGGUGUAGUGGUGAAAUGCGUAGAUAUCUGAAGGAACACCAGUGGCGAAGGCGGCUUUCUGGCCUAUUCUUGACGCUGAGGCGCGAAAGCUAGGGGAGCGAACGGG